CCCCUAGAUGUUCUGGGCCGCACGCGCGCUACACUGAACAGUUCAACAAGUCUUAACCUUGGCCGAUAGGUCUGGGUAAUCUUUGAACGCUGUUCGUGAUUGGGAUAGACCUUUGCAAUUAUGGGUCUUCAACGAGGAAUUCCUAGUAAACGCAAGUCAUCAGCUUGCAUUGAUUACGUCCCUGCCCUUUGUACACACCGCCCGUCGCAUCUACCGAUUGAAUGGUCCGGUGAAAUCUCGGGACGGCGGCUUGGUCGCUUGCGUCCGACUGCUGAAACUUGAUUAAACCAUAUCAUUUAGAGGAAGGUGAAGUCGUANCA
This 320-nucleotide ribosomal RNA is filed under the name uncultured eukaryote. Its description in RNAcentral is "partial 18S ribosomal RNA". It matches the Rfam family "Eukaryotic small subunit ribosomal RNA", at positions 1470 to 1796 of the family's 1831-position model. The record is from RNAcentral.